UACGUAGGGGGCGAGCGUUGUCCGGAAUCAUUGGGCGUAAAGCGCGUGUAGGCGGCUCGAUAAGUCCGCUCUGAAAGCCCGGGGCUCAACCCCGGGAGGCGGGCGGAAACUGUCGGGCUAGAGUCCGGAAGAGGCGAGUGGAAUUCCCGGUGUAGCGGUGAAAUGCGCAGAUAUCGGGAGGAACACCAAUGGCGAAGGCAGCUCGCUGGGACGUGACUGACGCUGAGACGCGAAAGCGUGGGGAGCAAACAGG
This 253-nucleotide ribosomal RNA is filed under the name uncultured bacterium. Its description in RNAcentral is "partial 16S ribosomal RNA". It matches the Rfam family "Bacterial small subunit ribosomal RNA", at positions 524 to 776 of the family's 1533-position model. The record is from RNAcentral.